AGGAUUUGUAUAGGAUUUAAUCUAAGAUUUAGAAUUUGUCUAAGAUUUGAUUUAGGAUUUAGGGUUUAUUUAAGAUUUGGUCUAAGAUUUAGAGUUUAUCUAAGAUUUAAUUUAAGAUUUAGGAUUUAUUUAGAGUUUGAUUGAAGUCUAUUAAGAUUUCAACAAGAAUUAAAUUAAAACUUAGUUGAGAUUUAUUUAAGAUAUAUUUGUAAAUAUUCUAAUU
This 223-nucleotide long non-coding RNA is filed under the name Physcomitrium patens. RNAcentral describes it as "long non-coding RNA (PPAT_LNC014954)". Lineage: Eukaryota; Viridiplantae; Streptophyta; Bryopsida; Funariales; Funariaceae. The record is from RNAcentral.